This is a long non-coding RNA of Pipra filicauda (Wire-tailed manakin), 291 nucleotides long. RefSeq lists it as uncharacterized. NCBI's taxonomy places the organism in Eukaryota, Metazoa, Chordata, Aves, Passeriformes, Pipridae. The transcript has 2 exons. The record is from RefSeq and is a predicted model, not a curated record.
UCUUCCAUCCAGACACGGCAAUUUUGUCUUUGCUCUGUUUCAUGACCAUAUUGCAAGCUCCCACUUCAAGAUUGCCACAAAAGAUAAAUUACGGAUUGCAUAAUUUGUCUGCACAAUUUGUCUGCACAAGAAGUCAUUGAUAUCAAGAGGUUAAUACAACUCAAAAGAAAUUUGACACCUUUAUAGAACAAGAACAUCUAAAUAAGAUAAAAAAUGUAUGGGACACUCUUCUGAUUAAGAGCAUAUUCCUUAUGUCUUGCUACAUACUGGAAAUAAAAGAAACGAGCUUUA